RNAcentral lists this ribosomal RNA (205 nucleotides) under uncultured Lactobacillus sp. RNAcentral describes it as "partial 16S ribosomal RNA". It matches the Rfam family "Bacterial small subunit ribosomal RNA", at positions 160 to 354 of the family's 1533-position model. The record is from RNAcentral. Lineage: Bacteria; Bacillati; Bacillota; Bacilli; Lactobacillales; Lactobacillaceae.
AUGCUAAUACCGGAUAACAAACAGAUGAUGCCUAUCAACUGUUUAAAAGAAUGGUUCUGCUAUCACUCUUGGAUGGACCUGCGGUGCAUUAGCUAGUUGGUAGGGUAACGGGCCUACCAAGGCGAUGAUACAUAGCCGAGUUGAGAGACUGAUCGGCCACAUUGGGACUGAGACACGGCCCAAACUCCUACGGGAGGCAGCAGGC